Molecule: transfer RNA, 59 nt
Filed under: Toxocara canis (dog roundworm)
Lineage: Eukaryota; Metazoa; Nematoda; Chromadorea; Rhabditida; Toxocaridae
Rfam family: tRNA
About the family: Transfer RNA (tRNA) molecules are approximately 80 nucleotides in length. Their secondary structure includes four short double-helical elements and three loops (D, anti-codon, and T loops). Further hydrogen bonds mediate the characteristic L-shaped molecular structure. tRNAs have two regions of fundamental functional importance: the anti-codon, which is responsible for specific mRNA codon recognition, and the 3' end, to which the tRNAs corresponding amino acid is attached (by aminoacyl-tRNA synthetases). tRNAs cope with the degeneracy of the genetic code in two manners: having more than one tRNA (with a specific anti-codon) for a particular amino acid; and 'wobble' base-pairing, i.e. permitting non-standard base-pairing at the 3rd anti-codon position.
Source: Rfam by way of RNAcentral
GUAGCUCAGUGGUAGAGCUCACGCUUCUUAUGCGGGCAGACCUGGGUUCGAUUUCCGGC